GGGGUAGCGGUGAAAUGCGUUGAUCCCUGGGGGACCACCUGUGGCGAAGGCGCCCGGCUGGAACGGGUCCGACGGUGAGGGACGAAGGCCGGGGGAGCAAACCGGAUUAGAUACCCGGGUAGUCCCGGCUGUAAACUCUGCGGACUAGGUGUCGCGUCGGCUUCGGGCCGGCGCGGUGCCGAAGGGAAGCCGUUAAGUCCGCCGCCUGGGGAGUACGGUCGCAAGACUGAAACUUAAAGGAAUUGGCGGGGGAGCACUACAACGGGUGGAGCCUGCGGUUUAAUUGGAUUCAACGCCGGGCAUCUUACCAGGGGCGACGGCAGGAUGAAGGCCAGGUUGACGACCUUGCCAGACGCGCCGAGAGGUGGUGCAUGGCCGUCGUCAGCUCGUACCGUGAGGCGUCCUGUUAAGUCAGGUAACGAGCGAGACCCGUGCCCCAUGUUGCCAUCCCCUCCUCCGGGAGGGGGGCACUCAUGGGGGACCGCCGGCGAAAAGCCGGAGGAAGGUGCGGGCAACGACAGGUCCGCAUGCCCCGAAUCCCCUGGGCUACACGCGGGCUACAAUGGCCGGGACAAUGGGAUGCGACCCCGAAAGGGGGAGCAAAUCCCCUAAACCCGGUCGUAGUCCGGAUCGAGGGCUGUAACUCGCCCUCGUGAAGCCGGAAUCCGUAGUAAUCGCG
This 679-nucleotide ribosomal RNA is filed under the name uncultured archaeon. RNAcentral describes it as "bacterial SSU rRNA". It matches the Rfam family "Archaeal small subunit ribosomal RNA", at positions 623 to 1302 of the family's 1478-position model. The record is from RNAcentral.